Molecule: ribosomal RNA, 434 nt
Filed under: uncultured Lachnospiraceae bacterium
Lineage: Bacteria; Bacillati; Bacillota; Clostridia; Lachnospirales; Lachnospiraceae
Description: bacterial SSU rRNA
Rfam family: Bacterial small subunit ribosomal RNA
Source: RNAcentral
ACGGAAGGCAGCAGUGGGGAAUAUUGCACAAUGGGGGAAACCCUGAUGCAGCGACGCCGCGUGAGUGAAGAAGUAUUUCGGUAUGUAAAGCUCUAUCAGCAAGGAAGAAAAUGACGGUACUUGACUAAGAAGCCCCGGCUAACUACGUGCCAGCAGCCGCGGUAAUACGUAGGGGGCAAGCGUUAUCCGGAUUUACUGGGUGUAAAGGGAGCGUAGACGGCAUAGCAAGUCUGAAGUGAAAUGCAUGGGCUCAACCCAUGAACUGCUUUGGAAACUGUUAAGCUAGAGUGCAGGAGGGGUGAGUGGAAUUCCUAGUGUAGCGGUGAAAUGCGUAGAUAUUAGGAGGAACAUCAGUGGCGAAGGCGGCUUACUGGGCUUUAACUGACGCUGAGGCUCGAAAGCGUGGGGAGCAAACAGGAUUAGAUACCCUGGUA